UGGUCACCUAGCUCAGUGGUCGUACACCUGCUUUGUAUGCAGAAAGUCCCAGGUUCAAUCCCUGGGAACUCAA
Podarcis lilfordi (Lilford's wall lizard) is the source of this 73-nucleotide non-coding RNA. The record is from the annotation of a GenBank genome assembly. NCBI's taxonomy places the organism in Eukaryota, Metazoa, Chordata, Lepidosauria, Squamata, Lacertidae.